Molecule: long non-coding RNA, 490 nt
Filed under: Lepisosteus oculatus (spotted gar)
Lineage: Eukaryota; Metazoa; Chordata; Actinopteri; Semionotiformes; Lepisosteidae
Description: lncRNA (ENSLOCG00000022573.1)
Source: RNAcentral
UAUUUGUUUUGUUUUGUUUGUUUUACUUGUGUUUUUUUGUUGUUGAGAGGACAGGGUUCAUAUUUCCAAGUCCUUUUGCACUGAAAGCAGAGAGUCCAUUAGUCACAGCACCAUUAAGAUCAGAAACAAAGAGCAAUCUAAAACAUUUCCCUGGCUGCUCACUUUCAUUUGGUUGGCUGUUUUGUGAAGUUUAGAUUCCUGAGAACAGCAAUGCAUUCAUUCAAGGAGGAGAGGUGAAAUCGCAUCACGCUUUCUACGGUUCAUGUUUGCCUGCCUACUACAGUCUGCUCAACUACGGAACCUGCAACUGGAUUCAAUCUUCUGCCUCAUGCUUCAUGGCCGCUCCGUUAUCAGGUGUGACAGAACUCAGCUGGUUUCUUCCCCUGGUCAACCCCAAAGCAACUGCGAUCAUCGGCAGAAACAGUGCACUGGAGUGCAAAUAAUAUAUUUCUUUUCAGUCAUCUCACAAUGGGGUUUGCAUGACGUUUAA